UUGGAGGGCAAGUCUGGUGCCAGCAGCCGCGGUAAUUCCAGCUCCAAUAGCGUAUAUUAAAGUUGUUGCAGUUAAAAAGCUCGUAGUUGAAUUUCGGGGUCAGUAGGUUGGUCAUGCCACUGGUAUGUACUGGUCUCACUGAUUCCUCCUUCCUGAUGAGCCGUAAUGCCAUUAAUUUGGUGUUGCGAGGAAUCUGGACUGUUACUUUGAAAAAAUUAGAGUGUUUAAAGCAGGCUAACGCUUGAAUACAUUAGCAUGGAAUAAUGAAAUAGGACGUUCGAUCUUAUUUUGUUGGUUUCUAAGAUUGACGUAAUGAUUAAUAGGGAUAGUUGGG
RNAcentral lists this small RNA (334 nucleotides) under uncultured Rhizophagus. Its description in RNAcentral is "SSU rRNA". It matches the Rfam family "Eukaryotic small subunit ribosomal RNA", at positions 548 to 886 of the family's 1831-position model. Lineage: Eukaryota; Fungi; Glomeromycota; Glomeromycetes; Glomerales; Glomeraceae. The record is from RNAcentral.